ACCGAACCUAUAGUGGAGAAUUCGUACGGACUGCUCUCUGGUAUACAUUCCCCUUACUCCCUCUCCUCAAACAUUUUUUUUGAGGGGUUGAGGCCUGUAUGAGGCUUAACUGCCAUUUCUGGAGCAACCACCAGAUGGCAACAGACAAGGACUUAUUGUAGGAGAAAAGGAGUUUUGGGUUUCCCAGCAAGGGUUCCGGCUAUUGGUUCUUUACCAUGGCAGUGCCAGUACACAAUCGUUUCCAGGCUCUAGUUAACCUACAUGAUCAGGCAGGUAUGGUAAGACAGGUGAAUAAAUUGGCGGCCUUUAUUAAACCCUCCUCGCCCAACCAACAGACUCUGGCAAAGGCUAAAUCCAGUUAUGCGGCUGCAGUGACUAGCAAGUCACCGACUGGCAGGGCCUUAAUGGGAGCCAAGGCCCAUAGGGACUCUGGAAUAUGCAGGAAUACUCCAGGGGGAUCGAGUGACAACUCGGACCUGCAAAGAGUGGAGGGGCUAGCUUCAGACUUACCCCAACAAUCAAGAAGAGUAAGGAGAUAUUUAAUCCCCAAACUCAACGACCAAGAGAGAAUCUGGCCCCACCUAAAGUCCCAGCCUUGAUAAUCCCAGGUUCACAACAAGAUAACCAGCAGGGUACGGUAGCAAUGGAAAACGGAAAAGAAACGGAACCUGGGACAGAACUAAUACUGGAACCUGUAAAAAGGGAUACACUUUUUUAUCCCACAUGUCAUUCUAGAACUGAAAGGAAAAUAAAUGAUUGGAGUAUUGAGAUUACAAAACCCGUGGUUUUUAUUGGGGAUUCCAACCUUGCGCGCAUUCCUAGCUUUACGGACACUAACACACAGAUAGACAGCUUUCCGGGAGCAACCUUUAGACAUAUUGCAGGAGUGAUAGGCAAGUUGGGGAAACAGGA
Oncorhynchus gorbuscha (pink salmon) is the source of this 912-nucleotide long non-coding RNA. RefSeq lists it as uncharacterized. The transcript is spliced from 6 exons. The record is from RefSeq and is a predicted model, not a curated record. NCBI's taxonomy places the organism in Eukaryota, Metazoa, Chordata, Actinopteri, Salmoniformes, Salmonidae.